CCUACGGGUGGCAGCAGUGAGGAAUAUUGGUCAAUGGACGAGAGUCUGAACCAGCCAAGUAGCGUGAAGGAUGACUGCCCUAUGGGUUGUAAACUUCUUUUAUAUGGGAAUAAAAUGUUCCACGUGUGGGAUUUUGUAUGUACCAUAUGAAUAAGGAUCGGCUAACUCCGUGCCAGCAGCCGCGGUAAUACGGAGGAGCCGAGCGUUAUCCGGAUUUAUUGGGUUUAAAGGGCGCGUAGGUGGAUUGGUAAGUCAGUUGUGAAAGUUUGCGGCUCAACCGUAAAAUUGCAGUUGAAACUGGCAGUCUGGAGUACAGUAGAGGUGGGCGGAAUUCGUGGUGUAGCGGUGAAAUGCUUAGAUAUCACGAAGAACUCCGAUUGCGAAGGCAGCUCACUGGACUGCAACUGACACUGAGGCUCGAAAGUGUGGGUAUCAAACAGGAUUAGAUACCCGAGUAGUC
Molecule: ribosomal RNA, 460 nt
Filed under: uncultured bacterium
Lineage: Bacteria
Description: partial 16S ribosomal RNA
Rfam family: Bacterial small subunit ribosomal RNA
Source: RNAcentral